CAGAGACCUCAAGCGUUAUCCGGAAUCAUUGGGCGUAAAGCGUACCGAUAGGUGGUUGUGAAAGUUUUGGGUAAAAGCCAGAAGCUUAACUUCUGAGUUUGCUCAAAAUACUGCACGACUAGAGGGGCAAAGAGGUGCUUGGAACGAAUGGUGUAGUAGUGAAAUGCGUUGAUAUCAUUCGGAACACCGAAAGCGAAGGCAGAGCACUGGGUGCCACCUGACACUGCUAGGACGAAAGCGUGGGGAGCGAAUGGGAUUAGAUACCCCAGUAGUCCACGCUGUAAACGAUGAAUACUAGGCAUGCGCGAGUAUCGACCCUCGUGCGAGCCGUAGUCUAACGCGUUAAGUAUUCCGCCUGGGGAGUACGGUCGCAAGACUA
This 379-nucleotide ribosomal RNA is filed under the name uncultured organism. RNAcentral's name for it is "bacterial SSU rRNA". It matches the Rfam family "Bacterial small subunit ribosomal RNA", at positions 526 to 896 of the family's 1533-position model. The record is from RNAcentral.